GUACAGUGUUAUUAUGUUUAACGGUUUUCUUCUGUUUCUCCCUUUCCACAGUCCUGCACGCUGGUUGGUCGCGAUGCUGCAGUGAACCGGAAAAAAGAGGAAAAAAAUCCGCUUCAUUCGGACAACUGCGCCACACGUGGGGUUUUUCAGUGGACAACGACGUAUACGAAGUAGACGACGUGGGAUAUUUUUACCACAAAUUCUUUGUCUUUAAUGUCGCCGGAGCGGCUAGUACGUAGUUCCAAGCGCGUUGUUUACAAAUAUUCGCACGAGUUUCAGUACCCCACUUUCGAACAUGGAGGGUGAUGACAAUGCUACCGAUUGCGACGGCAUCGACCUAGACAGACUGUGCCAGUGUGACGUGGACGACGAGGACGACGGCUGGGACCAGUGGGAUGGAUACGCUCCUGUCAAAUACUUCACGUAUGAACUCUCUGUGCGAGGUCGUCUCCGCAGACUUCUAGUGAAGAAUCCAUCCACCAGACUGUACAGUACACUGUUUGACUUGGUUGUGAACACUGUGCUGUGUUCUCUGUACGUGACUCGAGUCUGCCUUGACAAUGAAGACCAGUACAGAUGCCAUGGUCAGCCAUGCACGACAAGCAACGUUUCGGUCAGUAAGUCUGGAUUUUCCUCAACAGCCAUCAACUGGUAUGUGUUGCUAUGGGUGUACCGCCCCCUCCCAUUGUGGAUUGCCCAGAUACUGUUAUCUGUAGUUACUCUGGUGAAAGCAUCGUUACAAGUUUACGUCAUGACAAAGGGAACCCGGCGAGAUAACAUUUUGCACUUUUCCUUUCUUUUGGAGCUGUUCUGUUCAUUAAGCAUCAUAGUAACAGCCUUCUAUCCAGUAAUACUCCGCCAUAUCUUUGUUCCGACGUUCAUCCGGUGCUGGUUGGCGAAGAGAGCUUUACAGAAAAUCCUAAAUGACCUGCACCUCACCAAGCAGCGUUUUCAGACGAUCUCCGUAAUUCUGUCACAGCAGAUGUUGUUACUCAAUGUUACUCUGUUCUGUCUCAUCUUCACAACUGUGUGUGGGAUCCAGCACAUCCAGCGCGGCAGUGACACGACGUCGCUCAGUCUGUUCGAGUCAGUCUACUUUGUGAUCGUGACGUUCUCCACUGUUGGAUACGGAGAUAUCUCACCGGACAUCUGGCUCGGACAGCUCUUCAUGUUUGUCAUGAUCUGUGUGGCCUUCGCCUUCAUACCCAGACAGCUGGAGCAGAUUGCGACGACGUGGAUCCAGCGGAAGCGGUCUGGUGGUGAGUUCAGCCGCAGGAAGUCCCGCCGUAACAAGCACGUGGUUGUGUGUUCAACCGUCUUCACCACCGAGACCAUCAUGAACUUCCUCAACGAGUUCUACGCACAUCCCAAGUUAGAGGAACACACAGUCGUGCUGCUGAGUUCCCAGGAGCUGGACACGAGGAUGCAGAUGAUAUUCAAGGACCCUAAGUGGGCAAACAGAGUCGUGUACAUCCGCGGGUCGGUCCUCAAAGACAUCGACCUCAAGAGAUGCAGAAUCAGUGACGCAGAUGCGUGUUUCUUCUUGGGUGACAAACAGUGUGCUAAUAGUGAUAGAGCGGAUCAACAUUCCAUUCUGCGGUCGUGGGCUGUGAAGGAUUUCGCUCCCAAGUGUCAGCAGUACAUCCAGCUGUUUAAAACAGAGAACAAGAUGCACGUCAAGUUUGCAGAACAUGUUGUGUGUGAAGAUGAAUUUAAAUAUGCUCUCUUGGCCAACAACUGUCUGUACCCGGGAUUGUCAACACUCGUCAUGUUGUUACUUCACACAUCCAGGGGCAGAGAGGGUGAGAUUGCUUUGGAACCAUGGCAACAGGUUUACGGUCGUCACUCUGGUAACGAGAUCUACCACAUCCAGCUUGGCCGCAGCACAUUUUUCCGACAGUACGACGGCAAAUCCUUCACAACCGCAUCGGCCAACGCCCACCAGAGGUUUGGGAUUUCCCUGGUUGCCGUUCUGGACAUCACGCGAGCAGACCCACAGUUACAGCUGAAUCCCGGCCCUGACUACAUCCUGAAGAGCUCCGACUACUGCUUCUACAUGGGAGUCACACGCGAGGAGUACUCCAAAGUUAGUGACCUUGCACAGAACCGAACCUUCAUUCCGUCGGCUGCCAGAACUAGAAAUAUAGAGCUAAUAGCAAAUGAAAUCCAGAAAUGGCUACAGAGUGAAGAUGAUGUUGAAGAUGAGAGUCUGUUUAGUACAAUCACAUCACAGCUGACUAAACAAUGUCUACAUGGUCCUGAACGAAUUCCCCUGAUAAAUCUCGGUAACCACGGUGACGGCAAUAACGUGGACUUGUUUCACCAGCACCAGUUGCUCCGACAGAUGAGUGACCCCGAGGAGUCUGUGGAGUAUGUGACCUCGGAGAACAUCAAUGCAUCAAACAAAGUCUCACAGAUCUUCCCAGAGAUGGCCAUCGAAGGAUUUACCAUUGGGUCACCUCCGUGCACACUGUACAUUGGCAGUAAGCGGACUCUGUGUCACCUACACAUCAACAGACGACCCAUGUGCUGUACAGAGUGGGGAAAGGACUGUGAACACGUGACGUUCAAGAAUGCGAACGACGAGCGCUGGGACAACCAGCUGGUCAUACUGACAGCACAGACGGCCAACGCGGGAAUCUAUAACUUCAUCGUGCCGCUCCGGUCGAGCUUCCACAGUUUCAACUCUCUCAGUCCUAUUAUACUGCUUCUAGAACAGCAACCAGAACAAAUAUUUCUUGAAACCAUUGCACAUUUUCCAUUUGUUUUUUGGAUGCAAGGCAAGAUGACAAGUAUUGACGACCUGUUGGUCGCAGGUAUUAACAAGGCAUCUCACAUCGUGAUAGCUAACCGAGAAUCAGACUCGGAUACCAGUGAAGAGAGACUUGUUGAUGCGGAAAUUGUCGUAGCAGUACACAAAAUAUACAGAUUAUUUCCGAAUGCCAACGUGAUAACGGAACUGAACGACGCGUCUAACAUGAGAUUCAUGCAGUUUGAGGCACACGAUGCCUACACGGUGGAAAUUUCAAAACUAGAAAAGAAACUGAAGGAACAGACAAGCUCAAAUCUACCACAUCUUUUCCGUCUUCCGUUCGCCGCGGGUCACAUGUUCAGUGCGUCCAUGUUGGAUGGACUCCUUUAUCAGACAUUCGUCAAGGGCUACCUGAUCAGUUUUCUUCGACUCAUGCUGGGAAUCGAUGCCCAGGAGAACUCUGGCCAUCUUUCUAGCUUGAAUCUUGUUGGCUCAAACCCCAUUGGUGCCCGAGAAAGUGUUCGACCCAUCAGGCAGUUCGACCCAACCAUUCAGUCAACAUUGUGUUCGUGUUCAGAAAGCAACAGUUACACAGUUCCCAACUUACGGUGACCUUUACAUUGGUCUGUGCUCCACGACUGGGGAAAUCCCUAUUGCUAUUUAUAGAACGGAGAAGAAGCCGACUCCCAGCGCGGAGAAGGAAGAACAGCUCUCCAUGAAGCAAACUUCCUUAUCGCAUCAUGCAACAUCACUAGGG
Molecule: unclassified non-coding RNA, 3509 nt
Filed under: Gigantopelta aegis
Lineage: Eukaryota; Metazoa; Mollusca; Gastropoda; Neomphalida; Peltospiridae
Description: potassium channel subfamily T member 2-like, transcript variant X4
Source: RNAcentral